CAUGGCUCUCAGGCUGGCGUGUUGGCUCCUUAGACCCCCCAUGGCACGGGCCAUGUAAUCAUCCUGAAAGUCUCUCUGGGUGUCUGCACUCUCAUAAAGCAGGAAAAUGGAUCGUGUGGCCCAGGAAGGGAAAAUGAAAGAAAAGGAGAAUGAAAUUACAGACCUGGCUGACUGCACAAAUCAUGCAUAUCAUGUUUUAUGGCUUGCCAGAAGAAUUCAACACCUGUGGAUCACCGUAGCUGUAAUUGUACAUGAACGCACAGAGAUGAAGGACGGCAUCCUCGAUGGUUCCAAUUUCCAGCCCAUUCCCCAAUUUUCAACCCCAAUGACAGACAACACACACAGGGAUGGCUGUUUAGCUAAAGAAGGGAAUUGGGUGGUCGGGUUCUCCCUUGAAGGUAAGGUGAGAAGCUUGAUGAUCCGGCAGGGGCUCAGAGUAGAGUCGCUGCUCCUCCGCAUCGAGAGGAGCCAGAUGAGGUGGUUGGACAUCUGGUCAGGAUGCCUCAUGGAUGCUUCCCUGUUGAAGUGUUCCGGGCACGUCCCACUGGGAAGAGGCCCCAGGAAAGACCCAGGACACGCUGGACGGACUACAUCUCUUGGCUGGCCUAGGAAUGCCUUGGGAUCCCCUCAGAUGAGAAAUGGAUGGAUGGAUGGAUAUUUUUGCCAAAAAUUCAACAUGUAUGUCUGUGUAUUUUUUCCCCUUUAAUACACUUACAUUGUUGGGGAGCAACUUAACAAGAUCCUGGUGUCCCUGCUCACGCUGUGCUCUUCAGUUCACUAGCAGCCCCGCUGAGGAGCGAUGAGUCUGGGAAGUGCACAUUUUAACACUUAGUAAAAUAUGGUUUAAACUUCUUUUUAGUCAGUCUAUACCUCCAUUUAUGUCGUUAUGUUGGAAGUUUUUUUUUUUUUGUUCUUUUUUUUGUGUGUAUGUGUGUGUGUCAUGUUUGUGUGUUUGGAUGCCGUACAGAACUUUUAUUGAAACAUCGCUGGAACAUGUGUUUGGUUUCACCUGUGGUCUGCUGGUUUUUCUGUUUCUUUUCCUAAUAAAGGUGUGCAUGGUGAAACUGGAUCAAAUGACGUUUAUUUAAAAGGAUCCCCAUUAGCUGA
Long non-coding RNA from Melanotaenia boesemani (Boeseman's rainbowfish), 1107 nucleotides. RefSeq lists it as uncharacterized. Lineage: Eukaryota; Metazoa; Chordata; Actinopteri; Atheriniformes; Melanotaeniidae. The record is from RefSeq and is a predicted model, not a curated record. The transcript has 3 exons.